Drosophila eugracilis is the source of this 5156-nucleotide long non-coding RNA. RefSeq lists it as uncharacterized. NCBI's taxonomy places the organism in Eukaryota, Metazoa, Arthropoda, Insecta, Diptera, Drosophilidae. The record is from RefSeq and is a predicted model, not a curated record. The transcript has 4 exons.
ACAGCAAGGCUCUCUGUCGCACCGCGCUGCCACGACGUAAAUGUUGCAGAGCAGAGAGCUCACGGCAGUUCUCGUUGGGCCAGUCCCCAAGAAGUUGGCAUUCAGUAGCCACGCAACGUCCGCCAGUCGAGGUUGCCCGGCUCCCAGUUAGCUAUCAGCCAGUUGGCCGAUCGAGUGGCCAAAAAGAAAAGUAAAGAGGAAGAAGAAUUCAACGAACGAACCCUUUCGUUCCCUUUAGCCAAGUUCUGGCCUUUGGGCCGCAAAAGUGCAGCGACAGUCGAGCCGAGAGCCUCCAGCGAAACAGUCGCAGGUCGCUGCUCUAUCUAAAAAAAAAAAACUAAACUAAAAACCAAAAAAAAAGGAAAGAAAAAGAAACAACAACAUAAAUUCCAAGUGAUCAGCCAGCGGAAUUUGAAACCGUUAAGUACACUUUGCUGUGUCUGUGUGUUUGUACUCUCGUCGUACUGGCUAAGUUCUCUGAUACGCUCUAUAAGGCUAUAUAUCGUAUCGUGUGUAAUUUAAUUCCGGCGGGCUCAUAAUCAAUUCGCCGUAAUCCAUUUCCAUUUAAUAUUAACGUCGCGACAACUCCCCAAAAAGAAAAACAAAUAUAUAAUGAAAACAACCUCAAUGGGAAGCCAGAAAACGAGUAUUUAUGACAGGUGUGACGGUGUUGGAGCUGGAAAAUUACAGGUGAGUGAGCAGUCAUUAGGGAAGCAUUUAUUAUAAUCAAGUGACAAGCGGCAAAGGGUUGGGGUUAGCCUCUAUUACAAAAGGUAGAUAAAUGUCAAAUGUCAAAUAUCAAGUAUCCGACAUGUGUGACAAAGAGAGGGUAGGGCGGUAAGGUUUUUGGUUUCAAAGAAGCAAAGGAAAAGGGAGGAAAUAUUACCCUGCGUAAAAAGUAAAAACUUUUAUUUUCAAGACUCCGCAGUAUAUAGUAUAUAUUCUUGUAAGAAAUUAAGCCUUAACAUACCGAAAAAGCAGAUCUUAAACAAGAAUUCAGGAAGUGCUAUAAAUGUGGGUAUAUCUAAAACUCUUUCCUUUCGACCAUCUCUCCAUUCCUUAGCGUACUUUCUCAAUGCAAUAAACGAGUCAUCAAUCUAACCGAACCGAUUCAUCAGCACAUUUGCUACGCUUUUCCCAAGCAGCGAGCGCACCCCAACUUCCAUUCCCGUUGUCCAUGCAAAUUCCUGCCGCUGCUGUUGUUGGUCAAUAACACUGCCAAUCACUUUCUGCCUAAUCAUGCGUCUCAGUCGCUCAUCAGCCCUUUUCUCCUUUUUGGAGCCUUGUAUUUACGGCUCACGAUAAAUGAUGUUAAAUAGUCCGUGGCCGGAAUGAAUUCGCAGUUUCUGUAGGCAGAUCGAUUCUGGUUUUUACACGUGAGCGGUUAUCUUAUCGCCUUUUUGCCUUCGAAACUCUUAUCAGCCCGGUCAAAAGUGACAAUUUCAUUUGGCAGAGAGGGCAUCCCCGCUAACUGCUGAUAAGCAAAUUAGCUCUAAUUGAGCUAAGCUGGCCGAAAGCAGAUAACAUGGCGUUUUUCGGGGGGCGUUAACUUAAGACUUCUAAAGCCUUUAGCCGCUUCAGCCUCGGGUGGUUCUCACAUUUGUUAUGGCAAAAAAAAAAAACACAGAAAAAAAGCUAAGAAAAUAAGCAAAAAAAUCAUAGUAAAGAAAAGUGGCCGCAAAGAGUGCUUAAAGCAGACCAGUGGACGCGGUGGGGGGAGGACAGGUGGAACUAGCCCAAAAGAAAAGAAUUUCUACUUAUAACGAGUUUUUAUUACAAACGCGCGAAAGCGACGAGGUAGCCGAAAAUCUACUAAAAAAAGGAAGACAAAAAUAGGAGAAAAAAAGUAGUAGUAGCAGAAAAAGGUAGUAAAAAGGGGCAAAGCGAGCGAGGCUAACUGAAUUCCUUCUGGGUGGCUCAAAAGUGGGGUGGACAGCGGAAGGGUUGCACAUAAAAAGUAACAGCAUUUUUGCCUACACUGCGCGAAAAUGAAGUAGGAAUUCGAUAUCGAAAUGAACUAUUAAGAGUGUUAAAAGAUCUAAGAUCUAUUAGAACUCUCUUUUUGUAUUUUCAAAGGUAAAGAGAAAUGUUAAAUUAAUUUAAAGUUAAUAUUUUCAAAGAAAAGGUUAAAGGCAAAGAAAGCACCUAAGCUUGAAGAACAAAAAAAAUGUAUUUUUCGAAGUUUAAAAUAUUUUUAAAUACGCAUUUUAAGUAAGAAUUUUCACGAAAAGGCCAACAUCCUAUCCCAUUUCCUUUUCCCUAAGUGUAGACGCUGACAGAGAGGGCGCUAAAGGUUGGCUAGUAAGAGAGCGGUGGAACGAGUGGGAAAAGGAGCGGUAGACAGAUGAAGACCAAGACUGCGAAAGCAUGAAGCAACAUUAUUCAAAAGAAAGCCAAGUUAAGGCAUGCACACACACACACACACACUCACGCACACAGAGGCGAAAUAAAGAGACAGAUACAUGGCAGCAUAAUGCAGCAGCGAGAGAGUAUGAGUGAGAGGGGGCCGAGCAGAGAGGUAGAGGGUGGUAGUUGGGUGGCAGAUCGGGCCCGGCAUUAAACAUCAUUCAGCGACUGCGACGCUAACAGCGACGCCAACAGCGGCAGCGACGCCAGCAACAAUCACAUGCCGACAUUCUUUCAUUCGUACAACGACCUCGACUUUGAUUUGCAGUUUUUGGCCAACAAAAGAGAGCCGCUUCGGGCCAACUAAAGAGAGCCGGGACGCAACGGCCUCUAGACGACCUACACGCCUGAGCAAUGGCCGACUGGAAAAAGAGAGCCACCGAGAGAGUGCUAGCCGGCGAAUGAGAGCACGAACUUCGUGCUCGUGCGACUUGGACUUCGGUUCUCUUCGGUUCUCCGAACAAUCGGAACAUAGCUUUGCUCGCUCGCUGGCUGCGAAACUCCAUUCAUUCGUUCUGCGCGUCUCGUCUGUGCCGGUUGUCUGCUGGCUCUCUCUCCUGCCUCUCUCUCUUCGCCCAGCCGCCCCCUCAUAGAAACACACACAUACACAACCUCACUAACUGACAGUGCAAAUGUUAAACAAAGACAAAGGCAGUAACACACACACACACACACUUGAACAAACAGUGCUCCAGCUAAAUAAGUGCAAAAAUCAUACAAAAAUAUUCCAAAUAAAAUAAAAUACAACAAAAAGUGAACAAUCAGCCAAAAACUCUGGGACAUAGCCAAUGCGUCAUUGCCGCAGUCGCUCAAUCCGGCAACAAGAGCUAUCGCCACAGACACGAGUAUUCGCACUCACACUCGUACUCGCACAGUUGCAAUUACAAAGUGCGAACGACAGGCCCAGACAUCGCACCCAUACAGCCAGCAUUAUGACAUUAUGGCAUUAUAGAACCGAGAUUUUGCUCAAGAGAUCGGAACUAAGGCGCUUGCAAAGUUUAGCAGUGCAGUGCGGUGGCUCUUGAAACAAGUUUCUAAUCUAUUUGAAAUUACUUUACAAGAAAGUAUAUAAACCUUGGCUAUUAGUUGGAUAAUGCCUUGGAAUAUAGAAAGAGAAUCAUCAUAUUCAAAUCAAGUUUCAAUUUUAUUAGCCAGUACAUCUUGAGAGUCUAUCUCAUCUUAUAGUAUUCAACAGCAGAUUGCUGUUUGAUAUCUUAGCAAGUUCUAGACUAGGGAACACUUUCUGUAAAAAUAACUGCUGAUAAACAAGCUUUGUAUUUUAAUCAACUACAUAACGCCUCUUCAAGAAGCUUACACAAUAUUUUAUUUUGGGUCUAAUCAAUCCAGUCUUAGUCUGGGAUCUGGAUGGAUAUCAUUAAGAAGUGACUUCCAAAAGAAUUUGAAGAUAUUCAAAACUUCGAACCACCACAAAGUGCACUCAAAACAAAAAAUAAUAUGUACUAGUUUUUCGCCAAGUGUAGAUUGGCAGACAGAAGGCAGACUGAAACCGCAGUGGGAGGGGCGCCGAGCAGUUAUCAGUCGCAGACCCAAACCCAUACCCAUAGCCAAGCCCAGACUCAGACUCAGAAACAGACUCAAAAUCAGGCUGCGGCUGAAACUGAGACGCCGCUGCCGGCGUUGUCUGGAAUUUGUAUUGCCCAUAUGGGAAGACACACUACACCACACAGCCACACACAUACACACACAUACUUACGCCCAUUUGCACACAUGGCCAACCGGAUGUUGCAGCCAUCUUUGUCAUCUUUUUCAAUCUCAGCCUUGGCUAAGGUCGCUCCUUGCCAUCUCCGUUUGUCAUACCAUCAACUAGAAAGAGACGAUGGUGGGCAACCGUGAGCAAGCGAGAAGGCAAAGAAGUAGCAGCCGAGUGGUUGCCGUCAAGUCGUGAAUUUAUAACAAAACGCUAGACUCGGCGACUCUGAAUCUGACCGACUGGUUUGGCGUGUUGGCCCGGCUAAAAUGGAUUUUUUAUGGCACAACGAACAAGCAAACAGAACAGCAACAACUGAAUCAAAAGCAUAAAAAUGCCGCAACCCAAAAACCCGCAACACGAAUUCUGAAUGGGCACCAUCUGAAAUUUUUUCAAAAAUUGAACAAGUGAGAUGGCUAUUAGAGAGUCAGCGAGAGAGAGAGAGAGACGGGGGGAGAGAAUCGGCGAUAAGAAAAAGCGGAUGUCUUCGUCGCUCUCUCUCACUCUCUCCCUUUGCCACGCUCUUUUGACAAAGAUGGAAAGAUGGAAAUCUUAAUGCAAACGGAUGGAAAUGGUAGUUGAGUAACACACACACACACACACCCGCAUACUUAUACAUUCUUGUGAGCCCAGGAACUUCCGGAAUGGAUGGCUUGACUCUUGAAUCCUUCGUCCUGAACCAACUUGACUCCGGGAUCUUGGCACAACUCGAGUCGGACGCUUCAGAUAAGAUUUGGCUGGCGAAGCGACUGGAUCCUGGUUGUGGAAUCAGGUAAGGGGUUUACCCUGAAGGCAUCAUUGGAUGCCUGAACAAACAAUCAUUAAUAUCAAUUUGACUUGGUAGCUGGACUCUUCUCCGGUUUUACGACUGCUACAGCAACAGCAGGGACACAAAUUAUUUAUUUAGUUCAUUUUCGGUUAUUCGCCUGCGGCAGAUGCUCCAAGUUUUCUCCCCCACUCCACCUACCGCAUCGAAGGAAAAACAUUUCAGCCUCCUUUUGAUUCAUGGCAAAUAAACAAUAAAUUAAAUUACCACAUUUGA